Molecule: long non-coding RNA, 368 nt
Organism: Thalassophryne amazonica
Lineage: Eukaryota; Metazoa; Chordata; Actinopteri; Batrachoidiformes; Batrachoididae
Exons: 3
Source: RefSeq, a predicted model, not a curated record
AGCAAAGAGAUUGCAUCUUUCUGCUGUCCACAGACGAUGAAAUCACAUAUCAAGGUCUUAAAAAUAUCAGUUAUCACAGCAAAUACAAACCUCAGCCUUCUGCUUGGAGAAACGUCUUCACAUUGAGUUAACAUGACUGACAGCUGAAGACACGCACUCAGAGAUGUUCUGACUCUGACAACACAAGAUCAAACAACGAUGAGUGUUUUCCGAAGUCGAUAGAGUUGUCUGGAUCGUUUCCACAAAGAAUCCCUCCGUCACAAGCAGCACAACAUAAACAAGCGUUGCAUCGACAACACCUGUUUCUACCCACACGUGGAAGAAGAUUUCUUGAGGUGUAAAUUAAAAUGUGCUUUAUUUGAAGGUUC